GACGAACGCUGGCGGCGUGCUUAACACAUGCAAGUCGAACGCGCCUGUCCUCUGGGUUUCUGGGGGGUGGGUGAGUGGCGAACGGGUGAGUAACACGUGAGUAACCUGCCCCCUUCUUCGGGAUAACGGUCUGAAAGGGCUGCUAAUACCGGGUAUUCACUGGUCUCCGCAUGGGGUCUGGUGGAAAGGUUUUUUUCUGGUGGGGGAUGGGCUCGCGGCCUAUCAGCUUGUUGGUGGGGUGAUGGCCCACCAAGGCUUUGACGGGUAGCCGGCCUGAGAGGGUGACCGGUCACAUUGGGACUGAGAUACGGCCCAGACUCCUACGGGAGGCAGCAGUGGGGAAUAUUGCACAAUGGGCGCAAGCCUGAUGCAGCGACGCCGCGUGAGGGAUGGAGGCCUUCGGGUUGUGAACCUCUUUGGCCCGUGGUCAAGCCGCGACGUGGGUCGUGGUGAGGGUAGUGGGUAAAGAAGCGCCGGCUAACUACGUG
Molecule: ribosomal RNA, 488 nt
Filed under: uncultured bacterium
Lineage: Bacteria
Description: partial 16S ribosomal RNA
Rfam family: Bacterial small subunit ribosomal RNA
Source: RNAcentral